Molecule: signal recognition particle RNA, 93 nt
Filed under: Spiroplasma mirum ATCC 29335
Lineage: Bacteria; Bacillati; Mycoplasmatota; Mollicutes; Entomoplasmatales; Spiroplasmataceae
Description: Bacterial small signal recognition particle RNA
Rfam family: Bacterial small signal recognition particle RNA
About the family: The signal recognition particle (SRP) is a universally conserved ribonucleoprotein involved in the co-translational targeting of proteins to membranes.
Source: Rfam by way of RNAcentral
AGUAAUGUCAUUACAAUAGUUACAUUCAAAACUGGUCAGGUCCGGAAGGAAGCAGCCAUAAGACUAAGAACUAUGUGUAAUGGCAUUUUUUAU